AAAGAGAAUAUCUACCCAUAACCUUCAAGUCUGCAUCCUUGUCUAAUCCACUAUAGCCUCCUAUCUGAACUAUUCAAUAGCCUAAUUGGUUUCUCUGGUUCUUCUCUCGCUAUUCUACAAUGUACUCUCCAUUCAGCAGCCAGGGUGAAUCCCUUAAAUGUGAAUCCAAUGUUUCUUAUCUGCUCAAAAAACUCCAGUGUCUUCUCAUCACACUCAGAAUAAAACUAAAAUUCCCUACAUGGCCGACUAGGUCAAGUAUAAUAUAUCCUCUAACUGUAUCACUCUGACUGUAUCACUUGAAACUCUCCUGCUCUCCCAUUCAGCUCUAGCCAUACUCAUUGUAUUUCUGCUUCUGAAAAUACCUCACGUCUUUAUCAGAGGCUUUGUACUCACUACUUCCUCUGCCUAGAAUAUUUCCCUCUUCAGAUAGCUUUAUAUGCUCCCUCCAUUCAAUCAUAUAAACAGUGAAAUGCCAGCUCCUCUAAAGGGCUCUUCCUCAGCAACCAAUCUAAAAUAGUCUCCUUAAAUUGCUUACACUAUUCUGUGUAGACCUUUCCCUCACUUCAUCUUCAUAGCAUUUAUGGCUACAUUAGAAAUGUGUUAAUGUUGUUCUCUCUCUCAAAAGUAUAAGCUCAAUUAAAUAGCUUCCCCAUAAAUCCCAAGGGAGCGCUUGCCCAUAGUGAUGACAAUUUAGUGAAUAGUUGAAUAAGUUAAUGAAAAAAUUGAUACCAUGUACCAAUGUACAAAAUGUAUAAAAGUAGUAAGAUGGAUCAUUUAUCCCAAACCCACUAGACUUCCACAUAAUUGUGAGUUCAUUUGAUUUUCUUCUUAGGCUUAAUUUAUUAAAGAUUCUUGUGGGCCAGGCAUGGUGGCUCAAACUUGUAAUCCCAGCACUUUGGGAGGCUGAGGCAGGCGGAUCACGAGGUCAGGAGAUAGAGACCAUCCUGGCUAACAUGGUGAAACCCCGUCUCUACUAAAAAUACUAAAAAUUAGCUGGGCAUGGUGGCGGGCGCCUGUAGUCCCAACUACUCAGGAGGCUGAGGCAGGAGAAUGGCGUGAACCUGGGAGGCGGAGGUUGCAGUGAGCCAAGAUCGCGCCACUGCACUCCAGCUUGGGCGACAGAGCAAGACUCCGUCUC
Molecule: long non-coding RNA, 1138 nt
Filed under: Pongo abelii (Sumatran orangutan)
Lineage: Eukaryota; Metazoa; Chordata; Mammalia; Primates; Hominidae
Description: lincRNA
Source: RNAcentral